RNAcentral lists this transfer-messenger RNA (195 nucleotides) under Gammaproteobacteria bacterium. It matches the Rfam family "transfer-messenger RNA", at positions 174 to 374 of the family's 374-position model. Rfam says of the family: Bacterial tmRNA, also known as 10Sa RNA or SsrA, is named for its dual tRNA and mRNA-like properties. Its role is to liberate the mRNA from a stalled ribosome. Lineage: Bacteria; Pseudomonadati; Pseudomonadota; Gammaproteobacteria. The record is from RNAcentral.
GGGAUGACAUGGGGUCGACUCAUGUAAGAUUGUGAUGAAGCAUUUCUGGUGUGGAUUCAUUAAAAUUUAUCCAGAAUCGCUCUGUAUUCUCCCUGUUCGCCGGGUAAUACAAAGCUAAACUAAUAGACGAAAUAAGCAUGUAGAGCCGAUGGCAGAGUACUUGCGGACGCGGGUUCAAUUCCCGCCAUCCCACCA